AAAGGGCAGCGACUCGGCGACGAGAAGCGAAUCCCGCAAACCUGGCCUCAGUUCGGAUUGCAGGCUGCAACCCGCCUGCAUGAA
Molecule: ribosomal RNA, 84 nt
Filed under: uncultured soil bacterium
Lineage: Bacteria
Description: partial 16S ribosomal RNA
Rfam family: Bacterial small subunit ribosomal RNA
Source: RNAcentral